CUAGCUACAGGCUUAACACAUGCAAGUCGUUGGGCAUCAGGAAGAAAGCUUGCUUUCUUUGCUGGCGACCGGCGCACGGGUGAGUAACACGUAUCCAACCUGCCCUUUACUCGGGGAUAGCCUUUCGAAAGAAAGAUUAAUACCCGAUAGCAUAAUGAUUCCGCAUGGUUUCAUUAUUAAAGGAUUCCGGUAAAGGAUGGGGAUGCGUUCCAUUAGGUUGUUGGUGAGGUAACGGCCCACCAAGCCUUCGAUGGAUAGGGGUUCUGAGAGGAAGGUCCCCCACAUUGGAACUGAGACACGGUCCAAACUCCUACGGGAGGCAGCAGUGAGGAAUAUUGGUCAAUGGGCGCUAGCCUGAACCAGCCAAGUAGCGUGAAGGAUGAAGGCUCUAUGGGUCGUAAACUUCUUUUAUAUAAGAAUAAAGUGCAGUAUGUAUACUGUUUUGUAUGUAUUAUAUGAAUAAGGAUCGGCUAACUCCGUGCCAGCAGCCGCGGUAAUACGGAGGAUCCGAGCGUUAUCCGGAUUUAUUGGGUUUAAAGGGAGCGUAGGUGGACUGGUAAGUCAGUUGUGAAAGUUUGCGGCUCAACCGUAAAAUUGCAGUUGAUACUGUCAGUCUUGAGUACAGUAGAGGUGGGCGGAAUUCGUGGUGUAGCGGUGAAAUGCUUAGAUAUCGCGAAGAACUCCGAUUGCGAAGGCAGCUCACUGGACUGCAACUGACACUGAUGCUCGAAAGUGUGGGUAUCAAACAGGAUUAGAUACCCUGGUAGUCCACACAGUAAACGAUGAAUACUCGCUGUUUGCGAUAUACAGUAAGCGGCCAAGCGAAAGCAUUAAGUAUUCCACCUGGGGAGUACGCCGGCAACGGUGAAACUCAAAGGAAUUGACGGGGGCCCGCACAAGCGGAGGAACAUGUGGUUUAAUUCGAUGAUACGCGAGGAACCUUACCCGGGCUUAAAUUGCAGUGGAAUGAUGUGGAAACAUGUCAGUGAGCAAUCACCGCUGUGAAGGUGCUGCAUGGUUGUCGUCAGCUCGUGCCGUGAGGUGUCGGCUUAAGUGCCAUAACGAGCGCAACCCUUAUCUUUAGUUACUAACAGGUUAUGCUGAGGACUCUAGAGAGACUGCCGUCGUAAGAUGUGAGGAAGGUGGGGAUGACGUCAAAUCAGCACGGCCCUUACGUCCGGGGCUACACACGUGUUACAAUGGGGGGUACAGAAGGCAGCUAGCGGGUGACCGUAUGCUAAUCCCUAAAGCCUCUCUCAGUUCGGAUUGGAGUCUGCAACCCGACUCCAUGAAGCUGGAUUCGCUAGUAAUCGCGCAUCAGCCACGGCGCGGUGAAUACGUUCCCGGGCCUUGUACACACCGCCCGUCAAGCCAUGAAAGCCGGGGGUACCUGAAGUACGUAACCGCGAGGAGCGUCCUAGGGUAAAACUC
RNAcentral lists this ribosomal RNA (1431 nucleotides) under uncultured organism. RNAcentral's name for it is "SSU rRNA". It matches the Rfam family "Bacterial small subunit ribosomal RNA". The record is from RNAcentral.